Vitis vinifera (wine grape) is the source of this 1447-nucleotide long non-coding RNA. RefSeq lists it as uncharacterized. The record is from RefSeq and is a predicted model, not a curated record. NCBI's taxonomy places the organism in Eukaryota, Viridiplantae, Streptophyta, Magnoliopsida, Vitales, Vitaceae. The transcript is spliced from 2 exons.
CCAUUCAAUUUUUUGUUCAUUGCUAUCAAUUUGACGAUUUCUGUUUGAUUCUAUUGUACAUCAUUGUUAACUGUAUGAAAGCAUGCUUAUUGUAGAGGCAUUUAUUAAAAUAUUAAAAUUUAAUUUUUUUUUGUAAUAGGAUCUAUCAUUUCAUCCAACUAGAAGAGUUUCUCCAAUUCUAUGCAUUUUUCUAGAAUACACAGACAAUCCUGACCUUUCAAGCCAUUAAAUUGAAAUCUGGCUUACUGAUGCAAAAGAAUUACUAAUUUAAUCAAAGUAGUUUUUUUAUCACUUGCAUUAUUUUUUCUUUUCUAGAUCUUAUCAGCUCAGUUUUUGUGCUGACAUAUAGACUGGUUCAUAAAUUCAUGUUUCCCUAGAAGAUUGAAUUCAGAAGUCUCAAUUUCUUGAGAUGUGAAAGCAUGCCAGAUAAAUGGUGUCCCUUGUCAGGCAAUGUUAGUGGAAAAUUUAUCAUUUCAUUCAAGAGAACUUUAUAUUUGUUUUGACUUCCCAUGUUGGUUGAAUGCAUUCCCUGGACUUGGUUAGUUUAUUUUCUGUUCUACUUCAAUCCAUACCAAAACCAAACAAUAGAAACAAGGUGAAAAUGACAGGACAGUUAGAUGUUACAGGACAACAAUGAACCCUUCAUGCAAUUCUGGAAUUGUUAAUAAAAUUUUCUAUCCGACUAAAUUCUUGUAAUCAGAAAUAUUAAGCUAAUAUUGGUUUUUGCAUGAUCCUGAUUCCUUUAUGGAAUUUUAUGUCAGUAGUUUUAAUUCUUUGGUGUCAACACAUUUUUAAGAUAUCUCAAUUUACAGGGCUAUACUCCAAUCUUCUGUGUUGGUGUUUUGGAUUCUCUGGCAGUGGAAUUGAAGGCGACAAAGGAUUUCUCCAAGUUAUAUGCUGGCAUUUGCAAUACUUGGGUAUAUUGCUUUCGUUCCAGAAUCCGUCAACACCCGAGCCUUUUCUCAUCUUCUCACUUUCCUGGGCCAUAGAUAUCCCAAGAUCCGGAAGGCUUCUGCUGAACAAGUUUACUUUGUCCUCCUACAAAAUGGAGAGCUUGUGAUAGAGGAUAAGAUGGAGAAAGCGCUUGAAUUAUUUCCAAAACUUGCUGGGAAGGUGAUAUAGAAGAAGCAAAACAGCGACGAUUAGAGUUGCAUGAUAUGGCUGGUCUAGAAACAGGGCUACUUCCCAAAAUUGGGAAUGGAGCAUCAAACAGGGAUGGUGAGAAGAGGCCAACAGCCAGUGAUGAGAAUGCAUCAUACUCUUCCUUAGUUGGGUCAACUUGGUUCUGAUUGACUUGAAUUAAACCAUCCUUCAUGUUUGUUGUACAUUUUCAUCACUUCUCUUCACCUUAGACAUCUACCUCUCUAGCUUUUCCUGCAUGUCGCACAAUUUGCGUGACAUAAGUCUUGUUUGGAUAGACUUAUUGGAAGCGCAAGGCAUUUUUUUU